CUUCGCCUGGCUUGAGAGUUUAUGCUGCUUUUAUCCUUCCUUGGAUGUCUGAGACACUAUAUUUUCGUCUUACAAGUAUUACAUUUUGUAACUUUUGAUUUUUAAUCUACCAUUUUGAUGUCAAAUUUGAAAUUUUUAGUGUUAUCUGUGGCUAAAGAUUAUAGCUUUUUGGAAACAUUAUGAUUUUUGUUUUAUAAAUCAGGGGAUUUGGGACUAGAAUGUCUGCCCCUUGAGCAAAUGUAAAGUUGCUUUAGGGAUGAACAAGUCCCUGAUAAUUGAACUCCAUUCUUCACUUUGUCAGCAUUGUUUUAUUUUAUGCUUUGCUGAUCAUUAUCAGAUGGUACACUUUUAUAUUUGGAUUAAUUUGGUAAGUUGCUUUGUUUUAUUACUUUAUCUUUUUGCCUAUGAUGAUACCUUUUAAGGCUUGUUUCUCAAAACAUUCGCAGUGGCCGCCUAAGUGCUUUCGCCUACGCCAUGCUUGAGAGUGCAUGCUGCUUUUAUCCUUCCUUGGAUGUCUGAGGCUUUUUCAGUACUAUGUUCCAUUUUUUCCCUUUUUCUCUUUGUGCCUACUAUUUAUAAAUUAUGUUAAAGAUACUGUCUAUUAUUCCUCUUAUUAAUAAGAUACAGUUUGAGGAGCUUAGGGUCGUAGGGGCAUUUUGGUAAAACUGUAAAUAUUUUGGCCUAAGCCAUGUGCUAACACUUGCAACUGAUGAGCACUCGCUCUACUACCGUUUUGCUUCGUCUCUCUAGCUCUUCCCUCUCCAGGUGAGCCAGAUGCAAUUCUCAAGGUUCCCAGUAAACUGGAUAUCACUAUUUUGCAUAACUGGACAUGCAUGGCAAUAUCCAACUUCAAAAUUUGAUGGAAGUGGACUUUCAUCAAACUAUUAUUUCCUCUGGUCUAUGUGAAGUUGUGCAUGUAUGAUGUGCUUACUGUGUUAAAAUUGACUCUUUAGUGAUUGGAAGCAUGAAGCAUAGACCCCUACUCACUUGCUACUCUUCAAUCAAGAUUUAAGGCAAACAGAACAUGUAUCUGCUUUUAGCUUGUCCAAUAAACUUAGUUGAAAACUCUAUGCCUUAAUGUGUAAAUGUUAAAUGCGGAGAGUUAAAAAACAUGUAUUGAAGAUGUAGUUAAAAACUUUAUGCCUAACCAUUUAAAUGUUAAAUGCAGAGAGUUAAAAGAGA
Non-coding RNA from Nicotiana tabacum (common tobacco), 1182 nucleotides. Lineage: Eukaryota; Viridiplantae; Streptophyta; Magnoliopsida; Solanales; Solanaceae. The record is from RefSeq and is a predicted model, not a curated record.